AACGUAGGUACCGAGCGUUAUCCGGAUUUACUGGGCGUAAAGCGCGUUCAGGCGGUUUGGCAAGUCGGGCAUGAAAUCUCUCGGCUCAACCGGGAGAGGUUGUCCGAUACUGCUGGACUUGAGGGCAGUAGAGGGUGGUGGAAUUCCGGGUGUAGUGGUGAAAUGCGUAGAUAUCUGGAGGAACACCAGUGGCGAAAGCGGCCACCUGGACUGCACCUGACGCUGACACGCGAAAGCUAGGGGAGCGAACGGG
Molecule: ribosomal RNA, 253 nt
Filed under: uncultured bacterium
Lineage: Bacteria
Description: partial 16S ribosomal RNA
Rfam family: Bacterial small subunit ribosomal RNA
Source: RNAcentral